ACAGGUCGAACGAAACGUUGAGGUAUAUGUGGACUACAUGGUUGUCAAGUCUCCAAGCAUACCCCAACAUGUGGCAGACCUAG
This 83-nucleotide microRNA precursor is filed under the name Glycine max (soybean). Its description in RNAcentral is "miR5765 stem-loop (gma-MIR5765)". The record is from miRBase by way of RNAcentral. Lineage: Eukaryota; Viridiplantae; Streptophyta; Magnoliopsida; Fabales; Fabaceae.